Long non-coding RNA from Protopterus annectens (West African lungfish), 160 nucleotides. RefSeq lists it as uncharacterized. The record is from RefSeq and is a predicted model, not a curated record. NCBI's taxonomy places the organism in Eukaryota, Metazoa, Chordata, Ceratodontiformes, Protopteridae. The transcript has 3 exons.
GGGUCUAAUGAUGGAUGAGUACAGUGGGACAAUGACCUCCUUUUUUUCUGGAUGAAAAGCCCUUAGUGAUGAGGUGUGCCACAUAGAAGGAUUUCUUGACUGUUGGGGUGAUGUGGUUAUCGAAAGUGAGACCACUGUCCACCUGUGUCCCUAAGUCUCU